AAAUGUUUAAUGGCGGGCGACUUUUGACGUUGCAGACACAGUACUAAAUGUAGCAAUAGGUAAGCUACGCGUAUCGCAUAAAUGAUGAAAUAUAUCUCAUAUGGUGUCUUUUUUCAUAUUAUAAUGUAUUUUCACACCAAAUAAUGGAAAUAAUUUGAGUGAAAGCUGUAUUUAUCAAAAGAAAGAUCGCAAGCGGAGUUUAAGCUCCGCCCACUUUUUACCUUAUUUGGAAAUUCAAUGUAGUCGUGAAGCUUGCAGUUUGCAAGUCUGUUAAUUGAAGAUAAUUGAAGCAGCCGUGCACUUGUCAGUUGAGAUUAAAACGACCUGGUUGAAGAAACUGAUGAGAACAAAUGGAAAUUUUAUUCAAUAUGAUCCAUUUUCAGGGCAAAACAUGAUUUAAAAGGAUAAUCAUGGUGUAAUUUAUCGCUUUCAGGUAUUAUAAUCUAGAGAUAUACUAAAAUUAUGCAGACGGCAUGACUGGCUUGUGCAUCGGAUAGAUCAGAUAUAACCACGUGUUGCAAUAUUUAAUUUCAACCAUAGCCAGUAUCUAUCACAGGGGUUCUUCUUCACAGGUGUUUGUUAAUGAUAAUCCUAUGGUCCACACAAAUUAUGAACGUUCAUCUUGUGUCAGAUAAUUUAGGAAAAUGAAGAAAUAAAAUAGAAAACAUGUGCCUGUGCCUCUUAUCGCCUUUUUAAAAAUAAUAUGCAUUAACUAUUAUAAAGGGCAAAUACAUGUAUUUGAAUUGCAUGAUGCCACAGGGGCAGAUCCAGCCAUUUUAUAAAGGACGGGUUCCCAACCCAGGACAAAGGGGGGGUUCCCAUUCAAAUGCAUUGAUUGGCCAAAAAAAGUGGGGUUCCAACCCUUGAAUCCGCCAAUGUGCCAUCAGUUAUGUAUACAUUGUACUUAUUUACAUCAUGCCAUUCGUCCAAAGUAAAAAAAAUAUUCCUGCAGGACACAUCAAAUAAAAAAAACGUAUUUGCCGGGCUAAUCAUGCUAAUUAUUCUUCAUCAAACAUGUCAAAACUACUCCAAAUAAAUAUGACGUGUUGAAAGGCUAUUAUAUUUUUUUUUAGUUUCGAAGUAAGGCGUCAAAGAAAAAAAAGAAAAUAGCCUUUCAAGAUCGAAAGUAAGGUGUCAAAGAAAAAAAAUAAACUAGCAUAUCAAGACGUCAUAAUUAUUUGGACUACAUCAAAAACACCUUUAAAUAAUUAUUUCAAUUCAUCAUCCCUAACAAACAUUUUUGUGUUGGUCUGUAAUUGGUAAUAGUCCAAAUAAUUAAGACGUCUGGUAAGACUUUUUUUUAUUUUUUAUCUGAGACAGCCAGUAGGAAGAUUAAGGCAUCCAAGAAAAAAAAUAAAUAGCCUUGCCAGACAUCAUAAUUAUUUGGACUAGGUCUGUAAUUUAGCAGUUCAUGUUCAGAUGUAAUUGUAACCUCUUACAAGGCUACAUGAAGCUAUUUCAUUUUUCGCAGGAAGGCUCAAAGCUAAAAUAAAAUAGCCUUGCAAGAUGUCUUAAUUUUUUUAGACUAAGAAUAGACCACUUUGCUAUUAUUAUUGUGUGCAAUAUAGAUAAAGACUGAGAAAGCAUUGUCCACUUGAAUGUUUCGUACAUGUACAUGUAUCUACAUGUAAUAUGGCGCUGUAUCUUGUAAUUAUUUGGAAUAGAGGGAAGAACAUUUUACACCGGAGUUGAAUUUCUUUAAUAUACAGUCUAAUGUUAUUGCAUGUAUUGCUUCUUUCAAUUUUUUUUUGCUGCAAUUCCUUUAAUUUCUAAUAAUGGAUUUUGCCAUUCAUAGUAUGAAAGUUAUUAUUACAUGUAUUUGGCAAACACAAUACAUGUCUGUUUAAGGUUACAUACAUCAAAUAAAUAGGGUAGGUAGGUCGGUAUUUCCAUUUUAUUUAAUUUUUUCAUUUUAAUUUUUUGGCAUGAUUUUAGAGUCAUCCGUGCGUUUUAUCUUGUCAUGGUCCGAGUUCACCUGUAUUUUUAAAGAUUGAAUUAUUUCCCUUUGUUAUUGGUUGGGGGAAAAAAUGGUGGCAAAGUGUUUAUUUCAUCACACAAGUUGCGAAAUUUCCUUAAAACAGCUGCUAUAUUUAUGAUUGUGAACAUUAGGAUGUAUCAGGCAAUUGACUUAUAUUAUUGGCAACGCUACAAAAAUGUAAAUGCACUUUUGACAUGAGUUCAGUUUAUUUUUCCCUUUACGACGGAAAUAAAAUGACUAUUUAAAGGGUAAAACAGUAAAAAAAUAGGGUAGGUCAGGUAACCGUAAACAGACAUAUAUUUUUUUGGCCUUAGGAAAGACUAAAAGAAGCAAUAAUCUGAGGCUAAUUAAUAUGUAGUUUGUUAUCACGACUGCCAACUUUGACAUAUUAUUUUUAUAUAUAUAUAUAAAAAUUAUUAUCAGUAUUAAAAUUGAAUAGUCACUGCAUGCAUUUUCCCUCUAAAAAAUAGAGUACAUGUAUGACAUCAAAUAUCUGAACUGUGUCCCUGUUCAGUGUUGGUUGGAAUUAAAUCCAUUACUCAAAGCUAAAUCCCCAGUAAACAGAAUCGAACUAUAAUGGUAUUUGUAAAAUUUUCUUUGUGAAACCACAUGACCAAGAGGCAGAAAAAAGCCCCACUUGUAAUAAAGCUGUGUAUUCUGUUACAACAGACAACUGUGUGCAAGCAUGAAAGUAUGCAAAUCAUCAUUUUUUAAACUAAACAGCUGUUUAGAAACGGUCAAACCGAUAGAUGAGAGGGGAGGGUCUCAUAUUCUUAUUGCUGUGAAUGUAAGUCUACCUCAAUCUACUGAUGAUACAAAAAAUAACAACACAUACAUGUACAAGUGUUUUUCAUGACACUUAGCUGAUAUUGUAACAUAAGCUCCCUUAUGCUCAUGAUUUUUAUUUAUUUUUAGAUUUACUUAUUCUAGUUAUCAGGAUUUUAUCUUUUUAUAUACCAAAACUUUUAAUCUUUAAAAAAGUGCGGGUACAAUUGCAAAUGUAUACGGUUUCUAUUUCUAUCUAUACAUCUUUAAAACAGCCAGAUUUUUGGAUAGAGAGUCGGGGGUGGAUCCAGCCAUUUUAAAAAGGGGGGGGUUCCAACUGUAUGUCCCCAUUCAAAUACAUUGAUCGGCCAAAAAAACAGGGGUUCCAACCCCGGAAUAGACCCCCCCCCCCUUGGAUUCGCCAAUGAGAGUUGUCUCAUUGGCACUCAUAUAUUUUGUACCACAUCUUCCUAUACAUCUAUAUCUAGACAGACUGACUAUAUUAAAGUCAGUCUGUCUGUCUGUUCCAUGAAUUUUUUUCGUCCAUCUUUCUCAGGAAAAUAACAAGGAUUUCUAAAAUUUGCUUUCAGGGUUUAUAUGAAUCAGCAAUACCUUGUGAUGCUUUUUCAUAUUCAUCAUUCAACAACUUCCUGUGUACCUUAAAAUUCUUAAAGUUUAUGAGGGUUAUCAUAAGCGAUCAGUAGCUCACAGAUUCACUUGUUUGUUUCAGAUUAUUUUAUAUAUUUUUUGUUGGGGGAGGGAGCUGACUAUUUUGAGCAGUGCUCUCAGCACUUCUAUUUAAUCAUAAAAGUUACAUUAAGACGAGCAAACAUUAGCAACAUGCGUAUCAUGGGUUUAUUUAAUUUGCAUUAUAAACAAACUUGUGUGGCAAAAGUAAUUUCUUUAUUUUAAAAAAUAUAUGAUUCAUUAUCAUGAUGAUUAUACACAGAUAGUCAUACAUGUUACAUGUAUACACAGGUUCAUACUAUUUUUGUAUAUAUAGCUCUGUAACAGUUUCAGUACUUCAUUUGUUUGUACUUAUACAUCUUUGGAUUUUAAAUGUUUGGCUUUGAUGAGUGUUCCUGAUGAAAGUAAAUCCAGAAAAGCACUUUGGACGCAUGAAAUUAUUAAACGUGUUUAUCAAUUUUUCAUGCUCCUUAUUUUAAAACUAAAGUAUAUUAUUAUAAUCUUUUUUUUUUUAGGUCGCCUGAGAAUUACAGGACUGAGGUUACAGUAUGCCAUUCAAGCUUGGGUGAAAUAUAAAGUAAUGGUUUGAAUUUGGGAUCUUUAUUAUAGACAGGUAAAUUGUUUAUCCUGCAAUUAUCUACAUGUAACUAUUGUACAAUGAGACGACUCUCCUCAAAAGACCAAGUGAAACAGAAAUUAAAAACUAUAGGUCACCAUUUAGGCAUUAUGGCCUUCAACAAUGAGAAAAACACAUAAAAGGCCCCAAAUCAUAAAUGUUAAUAAACAUGUUGAAGGAGAAAACUAAUGGCCUAAUUUAUGAGGACAAAAAAAAUGAAUGAACAAACAAACAACAAGUGCUUAAUUACAGACACAAACAUACAGAAUGUGGCGGGGUUAAAGUUGAUUGUUUAACGGUUAAAUAUGUUAGCAAGCCAGGCUUUUCUUCCUGUUCUUAUAAUACAUGUACGUGCAAAUAAAUUUCUGUUUUCUUACAUCGUGAGAAGAUUGUAUGAUGUAAAUUUAGAACUUUAUAUAUGUUAUAUGGCAAUGAUUUUAAAAGGCAACUUUGAAUACAAAAUGUAUCUCAUUUUUAGCUCACCUGUCCCGAAGGGACAAGUGAGCUUAUGCCAUCACUUGGCGUCCGUCGUCGCCAUCGUCUGUCGUCUGUCGUCGUAACAUUUCAAGAUCUUCUCUCUGAAUACUGGGCAAAUACUUUCAAACUUUAAAUGAAUGUUGGGUAUCUAAUUAUAAAUGUAUCCGAAGUUUUGAUCUUCAACAAACAGGCGCCAUUGCUAAAAAUAGAACAUAGGGGUCAAAUGCAGUUUUUGGCUUAUAACUCAAAAACCAAAGCAUUUAGAGCAAUUCUGACAAGGGGUAAUAUUGUUUAUCAGGUCAAGAUCUAUCUGCCCUGAAAUUUUCAGAUGAAUCAGACAACCCAUUGUUGGGUUGCUGCCCCUGAAUUGGUAAUUUUAAGGAAAUUUUGCUGUUUUCGGUUAUUAUCUUGAAUAUUAUUAUAGAUAGAGAUAAACUGUCAACAGGAAUAAUGUUCAGCAAAGUAAGAUUUACAAAUAAGUCAACAUGACGGAAAUGGUCAGUUGACCCCUUUAGGAGUUAUUGCCUUUAUAGUCAAUUUUUUAACCAUUUUUUGUAAAUCUUAGUAAUCUUUUACAAAAAUCUUCUCCUCUGAAACUACUGGGCAAAUACUUCCAACUUUAAUUGAAUGUUCCUUAGGGUAUCUAGUUUGUAAUUGUAUCGAAGUUAUGAUCUAUCAACAAACAUGGUCACCGUUGCUAAAAUAGAACAUAGGUCAAAUGCAGUUUUUGGUUUAUAACUCAAAACCAAAGCAUUUAGAGCAAAUCUGACAUGAGGUAAUAUUGUUUAUCAGGUCAAGAUCUAUCUGCCCUGAAAUUUUUCAGAUGAAUUGACAACCUGUUGUGGGUUGCUGCCCCUGAAUUGGUAAUUUUAAGGAAAUUUUGCUGUUUUUGGUUAUUAUCUUGAAUAUUAUUAUAGAUAGAGAUAAACUGUAAACAGGAAUAAUGUUCAGUUAAGUAAGAUUUACAAAUAAGUCAACAUGACGGAAAUGGUCAGUUGACCCUUUAGGAGUUAUUGCCCUUUAUAAUCAAUUUUUAACCAUUUUCGUAAAUCUUAGUAAUCUUUUACAAAAAUCUUCUCCUCUGAAACUACUGGGCCAAAUACUUCAAACUUUAACUGAAUGUUCCUUAGGGUAUCUAGUUUUGUAAAUUGUAUCUGAAGUUAUUGAUCUAUCAACAAACAUGGUCGCCAUGCUAAAAAUAGAACAUAGGGUCAAAUGCAGUUUUGGCUAUAACUCAAAAACCAAAGCAUUUAGAGCAAAUCUGACGGGGUUAAAUUGUUUAUCAGGUAAAGAUCUGUCUGCCCGGAAAUUUUCAGAUGAAUCUAACAACCCUUUGUUGGGUUGCUGCCCCUGAAUCAGUAAUUUUAAGGAAAUUUUGCAAUUUUUGGUUAUUAUCUUGAAUAUUAUUAUAGAUAGAGAUAAACUGUAACAGCAAUAAUGUUCAGCAAAGUAAGAUUUACAAUAAGUCAACAUGACUGAAAUGGUCAGUUGACCCAUUUAGGAGUUAUUGCCCUUUAUAGUAAAUUUUUUACCAUUUUUCGUAAAUCUUAGUAAUGUUUUACAAAAAUCUUCUCCUCUGAAACUACUGGGCCAAUACUUCCAAACUUAACUGAUGUUCCUUAGGUAUCUAGUUUGUAAAUUGUAUCUGAGUAUGAUCUAUCAAAACAUGCGCAUUGCUAAAAAUAGACAUAGGGCAAUGCAGUUUUGGCUAUAAACUCAAACCAAAGCAUUAGCAAACUGACGUUGGUAAUAUUGUUUAUCAGGCAAGAUCUAUCUGCCCUGAAAUUGUCAGAUGAAUCAGACAACCUGUUGUUGGGUUCUGCCGAAUUGAUAAUUUUAAGGAAAUUUUGCUGUUUUUGUUAUCUUGAAUAUAAUUAUAGAUAGAAAUAAACUGUAACAGCAAUAAUGUCAGCAAAGUAAGAUCUUCAUAAGUCAAUUUGACCAAAAUUGUCAAUUGACCCUUAAGGAGUUAUUGCCCUUUAAGACUUUUUUCACAAUUUGUCAUCAUGGUUACUUACUUUAAAAAAUUUCUCCUUUGAAACUGCUGUUAUCAAUUUCAGCCAAAUUAGGCUAAAUGAGUUUCGAGAUUAGUAUAAAUUUUAUAUUUUAUUUCCUUGUAUGUCAAGACCAUAGCUCUAUGGCUAAAAUAGAACAUAGGAGAAAAUGAUUUUUUUUUGGACUUUUGAAGAAAUAGGACGAUCCAAAAAACAUUUAAAUAAAUUGAAAAGCCAAAAUAAUCAUUGAUGAGAGUUUAACCAAAAGAAUUAAGGUGAGCGAUUCAGGCUCUUGAGAGCCUCUUGUUAUAAGAACUGACAUUCUGAAAUCUAUACAUCAUGUACAUGCAUGACAAAUAAGUAACUGUACAAGUAUGUAGAUAUAUUCUGAAAUAGCACAAUUUUAUACAUUCUUCAAGAAUUGCAAUACAAUAAUUAAUGUACCCAAUAUAAAUCAUGAUAAUUUUCUUAAUUAAAAAUGAAGUGUCUGUACCAGCAAUAAUAUUUAUAAACACAGACAUGACGGAUACACCUAUAAUAAUAUACUGAACUUGCAAGCUAAAAUUUCUUUUGGAUUACUGAUAUUGAUCAUGUUGAUAUUGAAGUAUUCCUGUCAUUGUUCACAUUUGGAAAAGGAGAUAUAAAUAACAUAAAUUUAAAUAUUUAUUUACACAUAGUGCUCUUUUUUAAAAUGUGUGAAAAUUUAAUUUUUGUACAAAUGUUGAAUGAAGACAUUUAUAUACUACAGGUAAAAAAGGAUGGGAAUUAUUUUGUUUACAUUUUAACUUUUUGAAGAAGUAUGACUUUUUUACUUUUUCAUUUUGAAAAAUUUCAUUUGAUAUAUACAUUGUACAUGUACAUGUAUUAUAUUUGGAUUUUUAUAUUUCAGGGAUAAAGACCUUAGACCUGCAGUCAGACAACAGUUAAAAGUUACUUAUUAUAUAACUCAUGAUCAUCAUGGCCAUUAUCAUGAUUAUGGAAGAUCUGAUUAAAAUUUGUUUAGAAAGCUACCAAGUAUGUCCGUGAAAAAUAGAAAAAAGACAGCAAUUCUACAUAAU
This 7575-nucleotide long non-coding RNA is filed under the name Mytilus galloprovincialis (Mediterranean mussel). The record is from RNAcentral. Lineage: Eukaryota; Metazoa; Mollusca; Bivalvia; Mytilida; Mytilidae.